RNAcentral lists this unclassified non-coding RNA (199 nucleotides) under uncultured Thelephoraceae. Its description in RNAcentral is "sequence contains ITS1". The record is from RNAcentral. Lineage: Eukaryota; Fungi; Basidiomycota; Agaricomycetes; Thelephorales; Thelephoraceae.
CUGAAUUGUCAACAAGAGUUGUUGCUGGUCCUCAAACGGGGGCAUGUGCACGCUCUGUUCACACAUCCACUCACACCUGUGCACCCUCUGUAGUUCUAUGGUUGGUGGGGCCUGUCCUCCCACCAUGGUUCUGCGUCUUUAUCACACACACUGUAACAAAGUCUCAUGGAAUGUGUACCGCGUUUAACGCAAUACAAUA